AUACGGAGGAUCCGAGCGUUAUCCGGAUUUAUUGGGUUUAAAGGGUGCGCAGGCGGGAGAUUAAGUCGGCGGUGAAAUUUUGCAGCUCCACUGGAAAAGUGCCCUCGAAACUGGUUUUCUUGAGUGGAGAUGAAGUAGGCGGAAUUUGUUGUGUAGCGGGUAAAUGCAUAGAUAUCACGAGGAACUCCGAUUGCGCAGGCAGCUUACUAAACUACUACUGACGCUCAGGCACGAAGGCGUGGGGAUCAAACAGGAUUAGAUACCCUGGUAGUCCACGCAGUAAACGAUGAUUACUAGCUGUUUGUGAUACAAUGUAAGCGGCUGAGCGAAAGCGUUAAGUAAUCCACCUGGGGAGUACGUUCGCAAGAAUGAAACUCAAAGGAAUUGACGGGG
RNAcentral lists this ribosomal RNA (393 nucleotides) under uncultured bacterium. RNAcentral's name for it is "partial 16S ribosomal RNA". It matches the Rfam family "Bacterial small subunit ribosomal RNA", at positions 523 to 918 of the family's 1533-position model. The record is from RNAcentral.